This 382-nucleotide long non-coding RNA is filed under the name Lathyrus oleraceus (garden pea). Its description in RNAcentral is "Pisum sativum (pea) long non-coding RNA (PSAT_LNC034005)". Lineage: Eukaryota; Viridiplantae; Streptophyta; Magnoliopsida; Fabales; Fabaceae. The record is from RNAcentral.
AAGCUGCUCCAUGACGACUUGUUGGUGUUUCGCGUAUUGUACCAGAAAGUCAUCUCUGAAGUAUGGUUCUGAUAAGAAAAAGGUGGAUGGAUGAGUGUUUUUGUUUUGUUUUUGAAAGCUAUAAAUGAUACAUGAAUGUUUUAUUAUUAUAUUUUUUUUUUGUUAAAGCAAAGAUCUUUUAGUUAAUCGUGUUAUUUUUUUGCGAGAAAUACUUAAUGAUUUAUAUUUACAAUCAAAGAUAAAGGAAAGCACACUAAAGUGGAUCACAAAAGGUAUCUAUUCAUCCUUUGAAGGGAAAUCAUACAUGUUACAAAUACAUAGAAAUUGCAAAGUACAAGUAGAUGAGACAAAUAAGCUAGCUAGAUGUCAACCCUAAAAGUGC